This 484-nucleotide ribosomal RNA is filed under the name uncultured bacterium. RNAcentral describes it as "partial 16S ribosomal RNA". It matches the Rfam family "Bacterial small subunit ribosomal RNA", at positions 30 to 507 of the family's 1533-position model. The record is from RNAcentral.
AUUGAACGCUGGCGGCAGGCCUAACACAUGCAAGUCGAGCGGAUGAAGGGAGCUUGCUCCUGGAUUCAGCGGCGGACAGGUGAGUAAUGCCUAGGAAUCUGCCUGGUAGUGGGGGAUAACGUCCGGAAACGGGCGCUAAUACCGCAUACGUCCUGAGGGAGAAAGUGGGGGAUCUUCGGACCUCACGCUAUCAGAUGAGCCUAGGUCGGAUUAGCUAGUUGGUGGGGUAAAGGCCUACCAAGGCGACGAUCCGUAACUGGUCUGAGAGGAUGAUCAGUCACACUGGAACUGAGACACGGUCCAGACUCCUACGGGAGGCAGCAGUGGGGAAUAUUGGACAAUGGGCGAAAGCCUGAUCCAGCCAUGCCGCGUGUGUGAAGAAGGUCUUCGGAUUGUAAAGCACUUUAAGUUGGGAGGAAGGGCAGUAAGUUAAUACCUUGCUGUUUUAACGUUACCAACAGAAUAAGCACCGGCUAACUUCGUG